AAAUCUAAAAAGAGCCUCUCACCUGAGGCCUUCACCUGAGAGCUGGAGCCUGUGCGAUGGAUUAUCUGGACAGGGACCCCAAUGAACAGGGCUCUGCUGGAGUGAGGAAGCUGACUGAGGGAAGAACCAGAAGGCUGCCAAAAUACAAUUGUGUGCCUUUAAAGGAAAUAACAACAAGAAUUAGGAGCGCCCUGGAGGCAAGGUCUGCUGCUGGGGAAACCAAACCACAGUAACUUCAGAAAUAUAUACUUGGAAUAUGUCAUGUAUUAAUGGGUAAAGACACCGUGGAUAUGAAGGAAAUCACCUAUGGGAGAAUAUUAAGAAGAGAAGAAGGGGCUGCUGGCUGUAGUGAAAUGUAUAAAAAGGAGAGUGUGAUCCUAGUUUCUGUCUCUAACUAUGAGUUACUUGUGAUUAACUUCAAAUAUUCUCUCCAUAAGAAGAGGCCCAGAAGAAGAAGAUGAGCUUCAGUUAUUCUAGCACAACUGCUGUGAUAUUUGUAAAUAUUCAAAACCUAUAAUAAAAUGUAUAAAAGGAAACUCCAUUUGAAAUGAUUUGAAAUCUCACAUGGAAAUCUAUUUUUUUUAAAUCAGAGCUUAGUAAGAGAAAAUAA
RNAcentral lists this long non-coding RNA (610 nucleotides) under Homo sapiens (human). RNAcentral describes it as "non-protein coding LINC01829:42". The record is from RNAcentral. Lineage: Eukaryota; Metazoa; Chordata; Mammalia; Primates; Hominidae.